Molecule: non-coding RNA, 135 nt
Organism: Triticum aestivum (bread wheat)
Lineage: Eukaryota; Viridiplantae; Streptophyta; Magnoliopsida; Poales; Poaceae
Source: Rfam
AAAGUACUCCCUCCGUCCAAAAAUUCUUGUCUUAGAUUUGUCUAGAUAGAGAUGUAUCAAGUCACAUUUUAGUAUUAGAUACAUCAGUAUCUAGACAAAUCUAAGACAAGAAUUUUGGGGCAGAGGGAGUAUUUA